RNAcentral lists this ribosomal RNA (1204 nucleotides) under metagenome. RNAcentral's name for it is "SSU rRNA". It matches the Rfam family "Eukaryotic small subunit ribosomal RNA", at positions 1 to 1254 of the family's 1831-position model. The record is from RNAcentral.
UCUGGUUGAUCCUGCCAGUAGUCAUAUGCUUGUCUCAAAGAUUAAGCCAUGCAUGUGUAAGUAUAAGUAUUGUACAGCGAAACUGCGAAUGGCUCAUUAAAUCAGUUAUUAUUUACAUGAUAAUCGAAAGUUACAUGGAUAACCGUGACAAAUUACAGCUAAUACAUGCAUUCAGACCUGGUCCAAAAGGGUCGUAAUUAUUAGUAUUAAACCUCUGCCGCAAGGCGUGUGAUGAAUCAUAAUAAUCGAACGAAUCGCAGAAUUCUGCGAUAAAUCAUUCAAGUUUCUGCCCUAUCAGCUUUGGAUGGUAGUGUAUUGGACUACCAUGGCAGUCACGGGUAACGGAGAAUUAGGGUUCGAUUCCGGAGAGGGAGCCUGAGAAACGGCUACCACAUCUACGGAAGGCAGCAGGCGCGAAAAUUGCCCAAUCCCGACACGGGGAGGCAGUGACAAGAAAUAACAACUCUUGGAUUUCUAAGAAGUGUAAUGAGGAUAAUUUACAGCCCUUACCGAAAGCAAUUGGAGGGCAAGUCUGGUGCCAGCAGCCGCGGUAAUUCCAGCUCCAAUAGCAUAUAUUAAAGUUGUUGCAGUUAAAAAGCUCGUAGUUGAAGUUCUGGCUGUUCGAUCCUCGAGCUCUGUAGCCGAGGACUCGACAGUCAUCCGCUUGCAAUUAUAUGUUCUCCUUUCAUCGGGAGGCUAUAUGAGUAAGCAUUUUACCUUGAGAAAAACAGAGUGUUCCAGGCAGGUAUGUCCGGAAUGCGUUAGCAUGGAAUAAUAGAAUAUGACUGAAGUCGAUUUAUUGGUUUGAGGCUUUAGUAAUGAUUAAUAGGAACAGUCGGGGGCAUUGGUACUUGACAGUCAGAGGUGAAAUUCUAGGAUUUGUCAAAGACUAACAAAUGCGAAAGCAUUUGCCAAGGAUGUUUUCAUUAAUCAAGAACGAAAGUUAGGGGAUCAAAGACGAUCAGAUACCGUCCUAGUCUUAACUAUAAACUAUACCGACUCGGAUUCGGAUGAAUCAAAAAGUUCAUUCGGGACCGUAGGAGAAAUCAAAGUUUUUGGGUUCUGGGGGAAGUAUGGUCGCAAGGCUGAAACUUAAAGGAAUUGACGGUUUUGCACCACCAUGGAGUGGAGUCUGCGGCUUAAUUUGACCCAACACUGGGAAACUCAUCAGGGCAAGAAGAUUUUAGGAUUGACGGAUUGAGAG